Molecule: unclassified non-coding RNA, 341 nt
Filed under: Hevea brasiliensis (rubber tree)
Lineage: Eukaryota; Viridiplantae; Streptophyta; Magnoliopsida; Malpighiales; Euphorbiaceae
Source: RNAcentral
AUAAACUAUUCGGAACCCAACGAAAAAUCUCAUCACUAUCAAACACAACUCACAAAAAAUGGAAAAUGAUCGAGUAAGAGGAGGAAGAAACCGAUAAAGAACUUCAUAUUUGCUGAAAGAUAACAGAAUAAAAUAAUGAGUGAGUUGAAAUUAGGGAAUUUCACCUCCUUCGGGGCAGCGAACUAGAGACGGACGAGCUAGCAAAGACGAGCUUCCACAACUUGAACAACAACCCCUUGCUUCUUAACUUGCUAUGCUUUCGUAGCUCGAUUAUUCUUCCCCCUUUAUAUGAAUAUAUCUUGCUAGGAAAUUCCAGCUAAAGUAUUAGUAAGAAAAAAAAU